UUUGUAGUAUAUGUGUAUCCCAUGCAAUAUUUGGGACAUACUUAUGCUACAA
RNAcentral lists this microRNA precursor (52 nucleotides) under Myotis davidii. RNAcentral describes it as "mir-1302 microRNA precursor family". It matches the Rfam family "mir-1302 microRNA precursor family". The record is from Rfam by way of RNAcentral. Lineage: Eukaryota; Metazoa; Chordata; Mammalia; Chiroptera; Vespertilionidae.